GAGUUUGAUCGUGGCUCAGAUUGAACGCUGGCGGCAGGCCUAACACAUGCAAGUCGAGCGGUAGAGAGAAGCUUGCUUCUCUUGAGAGCGGCGGACGGGUGAGUAAUGCCUAGGAAUCUGCCUGGUAGUGGGGGAUAACGCUCGGAAACGGACGCUAAUACCGCAUACGUCCUACGGGAGAAAGCAGGGGACCUUCGGGCCUUGCGCUAUCAGAUGAGCCUAGGUCGGAUUAGCUAGUUGGUGAGGUAAUGGCUCACCAAGGCGACGAUCCGUAACUGGUCUGAGAGGAUGAUCAGUCACACUGGAACUGAGACACGGUCCAGACUCUACGGGAGGCAGCAGUGGGGAAUAUUGGACAAUGGGCGAAAGCCUGAUCCAGCCAUGCCGCGUGUGUGAAG
RNAcentral lists this ribosomal RNA (398 nucleotides) under uncultured bacterium. Its description in RNAcentral is "bacterial SSU rRNA". It matches the Rfam family "Bacterial small subunit ribosomal RNA", at positions 9 to 410 of the family's 1533-position model. The record is from RNAcentral.